GCCGCGAUAGUAUAGUCCGGUCAAGUAUACCGCCCUCUCGCGGCGGGGACACGGGUUCAAAUCCCGUUCGCGGCG
RNAcentral lists this transfer RNA (75 nucleotides) under Candidatus Woesearchaeota archaeon. RNAcentral's name for it is "tRNA-Glu". It matches the Rfam family "tRNA". From Rfam's summary of the family: Transfer RNA (tRNA) molecules are approximately 80 nucleotides in length. Their secondary structure includes four short double-helical elements and three loops (D, anti-codon, and T loops). Further hydrogen bonds mediate the characteristic L-shaped molecular structure. tRNAs have two regions of fundamental functional importance: the anti-codon, which is responsible for specific mRNA codon recognition, and the 3' end, to which the tRNAs corresponding amino acid is attached (by aminoacyl-tRNA synthetases). tRNAs cope with the degeneracy of the genetic code in two manners: having more than one tRNA (with a specific anti-codon) for a particular amino acid; and 'wobble' base-pairing, i.e. permitting non-standard base-pairing at the 3rd anti-codon position. Lineage: Archaea; Nanobdellati; Candidatus Woesearchaeota. The record is from RNAcentral.